This 205-nucleotide long non-coding RNA is filed under the name Homo sapiens (human). RNAcentral describes it as "HSALNT0105470". Lineage: Eukaryota; Metazoa; Chordata; Mammalia; Primates; Hominidae. The record is from RNAcentral.
GUCUGAGAAGUGAGGAGACCCUCUGCCCGGCAACCACCCCGUCUGAGAAGUGAGGAGACCCUCCACCCGGCAGCUGCCCCGUCUGAGAAAUGAGGAGCCUCUCCGCCCGGCAGCCACCCCGUCUGGGAAGUGAGGAGCGUCUCCGCCCGGCAGCCACCCCGUCCGGGAGGGAGGUGGGGGGGGUCAGCCCCCCCGCCAGGCCAGC